UUAACGCUGGUAAAUUAUAACCUAGGGCUUUUUCGUCGUAACCGCUAGGCCAGGUUUAGCUCCAGUGGCAUGAAGAGGGGAUUGGGUCUUCCGCAUUAUUCUUCACGCGAAACGAAAUCAUUCCAUACGUAAAACCAUAGGGCACGUUGUUUUCAGGAGGCUAAAUCAAUGGACUAACAGUUUGCCUCUAUAUCUGACUAUAUAGAUGUAUACAUCUGCGUGCAUUAUCGAUAUUACACACAAUCGCUGAAAUUGGAAGUUCGCCCGUAGUCAAGAUCAAUGAAUCAAGAGAGGCGCACAGAGGG
RNAcentral lists this small RNA (305 nucleotides) under Histoplasma capsulatum. RNAcentral's name for it is "hypothetical RNA". The record is from RNAcentral. Lineage: Eukaryota; Fungi; Ascomycota; Eurotiomycetes; Onygenales; Ajellomycetaceae. RNAcentral also lists the same sequence under 1 other name.